AUGCUGGAGGCCGGGGCGCCCCCGUCCGCGGCCACCAUCACCUCGCUCGGUCGCUUCGUGGCCGCAGACGGCGAGGGCGCUGAUGAGGCCUUCGGGCUCGUCUCCACCAUGCGGCAGAAGUACGGCAUCGCGCUGCGCCUCCGGUCCUACAGCCCCGUGCUUGCCGUAAUCCGGCGCGCCAGGGAGGCUGGCAAGGCCUCCGCGGUCGAGGCCCUCAUGGCGGCCUCCGCUGUAUCGCAGGAAGAGCCCGAGCUUGCCGCGCUCCUUGAGGUCAGCGCAAAGGUCAGGGACACAGACAAGGUGUAUGAGUAUAUGCACAAGCUGUGGCGAGCUAUUGGCUGUGUGAUAGAGGAGACCGCCAAGGUCUUGGAGGGGCGGUUCCGGAUUGAGACGGCGGCAACUGCUCAUAAGCCUGAGUGGGAUGUGUGUCAGGUUAAGGACGCCCUUGUGGCGAACGGCGGUGGGUGCCAUCAGCUGGGGUGGCUUCGGACCGGACCAUGGAUGGUGCAGCGGGUGAGAGCUGGGGCAGACGACAAGUGA
RNAcentral lists this ribosomal RNA (540 nucleotides) under Triticum aestivum (bread wheat). Its description in RNAcentral is "partial small subunit ribosomal RNA". Lineage: Eukaryota; Viridiplantae; Streptophyta; Magnoliopsida; Poales; Poaceae. The record is from RNAcentral.